UGGAGCAUGUGGUUUAAUUCGAAGCAACGCGCAGAACCUUACCAACCCUUGACAUGGGUAUCGCGGGACCAGAGAUGGUCCUUUCAGUUCGGCUGGAUACCACACAGGUGCUGCAUGGCUGUCGUCAGCUCGUGUCGUGAGAUGUUCGGUUAAGUCCGGCAACGAGCGCAACCCACACUCUUAGUUGCCAGCAUUCAGUUGGGCACUCUAGGAGAACUGCCGGUGAUAAGCCGGAGGAAGGUGUGGAUGACGUCAAGUCCUCAUGGCCCUUACGGGUUGGGCUACACACGUGCUACAAUGGUGGUGACAAUGGGUUAAUCCCAAAAAGCCAUCUCAGUUCGGAUUGGGGUCUGCAACUCGACCCCAUGAAGUCGGAAUCGCUAGUAAUCGCGUAACAGCAUGACG
RNAcentral lists this ribosomal RNA (405 nucleotides) under uncultured bacterium. RNAcentral's name for it is "bacterial SSU rRNA". It matches the Rfam family "Bacterial small subunit ribosomal RNA", at positions 933 to 1359 of the family's 1533-position model. The record is from RNAcentral.